CCGGCGGGCGCUCCCGGCGCGUCCCCGCGGGGCGGGGCGGGAACGAGCCGGAUUCCAAUCACUGCGGGCCGGGCGCGCGCGCGGCGGGGGCGCGCGGGGAGGCGGGAGCGCGCCCGUCCGUCAGCACGUGCCGGGGGCGGGAGCGCUGGAGCGGCUCCGCGGCGAGGGAAAGUUGGCCGGGAGGAGCCGGCCGGGCUCGCUCUGCCUCCCCCGCUGCCCCGCCGCGGCCCCGCCGCCUGAGCGGGCCUGUCUCCGAGCGCCCGGGCCCGGGCGUUAUCCCGCCCCGCCGCCCAGCAGGGCUCUCCCGGGGAAGCAGCUCCUGUAGGGAAGGGCGGGAAGGUGUGAGAGCAGGACGCGGCCAGGUCGCUGUCACAGAAGCGCCGCUGGCCGAGAAGGGGGAUCGGGGCACGGGAAGAAGCCGCGGCUGGAUUUGGCUGCAGGGCCGGGGAGCUCCAUCCAGAUGCUGGUGGAGUUGGCGCCAUGGAAAACGGGGCAGCUGCCAGGAUUCACGGAAGAACUUCUGAACAGAGAGCAGCUUCUGGGACUGCUUAGGAGAUCAAUGAAGGCUCCAACAACCACUAGCCUUAUAAGUCUAUAAAAGGUGCAAAAUGUGGUUUGUAAUUUCUGAGAAAGAUGAUCCCCACCUGUCCCAUGUCACAGUGCUUCUUGAAGUCUGCAUUAGAAAGAAAUGUCUACUGAACCCACUUAGUUGAAGCCUCCACAGUCAUCACCUGCUCAAACAGCGUACAAAUUUCAUGUUUUUGAGUUACAUCCAGGAUCUUGGACUGAAAACUACGAGUCUGGUCAUGAGUAUUCCUUCAGUACCAGUGGCCAAUACCGGGGCGAUACAUAACGACAGGAAUCUGCAAUCAGGAUGAGGAGGAUGUUCUGUUAUUCCACUUACUGUACUCUGUCCCAGUCAUCUGGGCGAGGAUGCGGAAGGACUUGGACUGCAGGUUGGCGGAGCGGCGGCUCCAGUCCUCGCUCUCAUCCUCGGGCUUGUUCUGAGUUUUCAGCACAGCCUGAUACACCGGGGAGGCACUGUCUACGUGAGGGUCUUUGAGAGGGAGGGUACUGCAAUUCAGAAAGCGAAACCUUGUGAAACGGCACAUGGUGGCUUUCCUCCCAACCCCUCUGGUCUCAGUUUAUCACCCAGAGUAACAGCAAUCCACAUCAUGGCUUUGAAAUUACCACUUCUUAAAAAAAUACGUUGAUCAAUUUUAUGUUAUGGCUUGUUCUAUCUUUAGAAUGGCCUGUUAUCAUCAAAUCUGCACAUUCAAAACAGCAUGAAAAUGCUUGGAAAUAUCUGUUUAUGAUUCCUCAGCCAAGGAAGCCACAAGUUUACAGUGGUUAGAAUAACGUGUGGGGAUAAAGGCGAGUAUGCCAGGCAAAACCAUUUAUUUCUCUGAGAAUUCCUGUCCCCUAUUAUUUCUUAUAAAAAUUACUUCAUGUAGAUACUGCUUUAUGCUACUUCUUUAAAUUACAGUGUUGGGCCAAUGCGCUUUGAGAUUGUACUUAGAAAUAAAAACCAUAUUUCAUUAUAAAAAUAAUGUGGUAGGCUUUUAUAGCUCUUUCUAGAGAUGAUUCUUUGUCAAACUGAAUUAAACUUCCAUCUGCCAUAAGUCUAGAUUCAUUGUCUACUAAACCUGUGAAGCAAAGAAGUCUAGACGUACUCAAGACUUGCAUACAUAUGCUGUAUCUGAAAUCUUUAGUAACAGAAUGUAUCUGAGUCUUACAACAUGUCUACUCAUCUUGCAAACUGAUAUGUCCAGGAGAAAACUUUCAAUUGUGCACACCUAAAAUCAAAGCUACAAAAGUCUGUAGCACAAGUGAAGUAACCUCUCUUUGAUUUAUGAUGCAAGCUAGAAACAGGCUUAGUAACUUAAUAGUGCCUUUUUUUCCCCCUGUGAAAAUAACUUCUGCAUAGCACACAGUUAAAAUUAACUAUUAACAGAGCUGCAGGAAUAUACACUGAGGGGAUGAUGUAUGCUUGGAGUAACUUGGCUCCAUGGCUUCUCUAAAUACAAGGUCUAUUUUUGAAGCAAGUGAUUUAUUGUAACAGCUUUAACUUGUUAUUCCAUAAAGAGCUUUGCAAGCAGCAAGCUCAACUUCAGGAAAACUGAGAAACGGUUCUGUUAAAAGUUAAGGGCCAUUUGGUCCAACUAAGUCACUGCCAUAAAGUUCCAGGAGCAGCCCCCUGCUAUAAAAGUUUCUUCCUUGGUUCAGGCUCAAACUUAGUGUUCUCUAAGACACCAUUGUGCAGAGAAAAUCUACAGAGAAGCUGAGUCUGUGAUUUGAAGACCUGAGAGAAAUCAUGAAAAAGCCAAGAACCAUGUCUGACAUCCUACACACAGCAAUAACGUACACUGUGAUGAAAAAUAUUACCAGGUAGUGCUUUAAAUAUCAGUAUUUUCCAGCUGACACACUCCUCUUCAUCAAUACACGGUUUUGAUGGAUCUGGACAUAAUAGCAUGGGACGUGUUCUUCAGGUCAGACCACAAGUGGCUCACAAACAUGGUCAGUGUUUAUAUGGACCCAAAAGCACCCUGUCUCUCUAGGAGUUUUCAGGUUUUAUUGAAGGAGUAUUUAUGUUCUUCAUAACCCCCAAUAUAUGCAAACUUAUCACUUUCUUGAGGACCCAGCACAGCACAAACCUCAGUAAGUUUUUUUUUUGCAUGUUUCAGCACAAUCAUCUAUGUGAUGGAGCACAGCUUGGAAAAAAGGUGAACUUAGAAAAAACCCUGACUCUUCAGUUUAAGCUCUGCCACAAAACAUAUAAGUUAUGUAAAAAAUGUUUCUCAGUGUGGAAGAUGCCCUGUAGGAAGAAGCAGCAUUUUCCAGCUCCUCUUUUAGCUUGUGUUUCCAGACCACUAUCCUUACAAUAUCUAAACACUAGCAGGUACAGAAGGCAUAAUGUAGACUUGUUUAUUUUGGGGAGGGUGUGCCAUCAGUUGCUUGCACUAGUGUUGCUCCUAGUGGAAGAUGGGAGAGCAGUAGUCUUCCUCUUCUGGCCCAUCACAUAUGGCUGAAGGGUUUGCUGAGGCAGGGCAGAAAGUGUGGGAGCAGGAAUGGUCUUUGCAUGGAAAAGCUUCUCUGUAAUACCAACAGUAAGUCAGCAACCCACUCGGGACUGUUCUGCUGCUGCCUCUGACACUUGGCUGUGCUGAAAAGUUCUGUCACUGUAAAGGGUCUUGUUAAUGUUCCCCAAAAGAUGACCCCAGAGGCAUUUGAGGGUGCUGAGCACCCAGUACCUUGCCCUGUAUGACUGCUAUAGCUGACUGCCUGAGUUGGGCCAACAGUUAACUUUAUAUUCCCAGACUGACUUUUUAAUCUUGCUGAAGCUUAAAAACCUGCUGUUUUUAGCAGUGUGAUAGCACAUUUCCCAGCUGCAUACUGUUGCAAAGUGGAUAAUAAACCUUUGCUGACUUUGACCAUAGACCACUGUGGCAAAGCACCAUGCAAGUUACAGACAGUACAAAUUCCUUUGACUAAAUCCUCUUGCUGAAAUGCUUUGUUCUUGUAUUAUGACCAAUAUACAAAAAAAGCAGUUUAAAGGUUUAUGUAUAAUUAUGCUAUUAACUCAAGGUUAGUUAAAAAACUAGAGCCAAAGGCUGGACCACAAAUUUCACAGUAGCAAUGUGUGGCAUUAACAGGACAUAUUAAUAUCCUUAUGGUAGAUGAUUAAGGCAGGAAAUGGAGCUUGGUGAAUUAAACUUCCCUAGCAGAGUGAAACAUGCUCAUAUAAAUUGAACUAAAUUAAUGUAAUACAUUGGAAUAUUUCCAAAUCUGCCUUUAAUUCAACAGGCCUUUUUCUUUUUUUAAAAUCAUAAUUACAUUGUAGAUGAGUAACUAGGACAUAUGAGCCACUCAGCAUGGAAGUGCAAAAUAGAGCGCAUUGCUGAUUAGGAGCAUUUCAUAAACCUAAAUGUGACAGUUGAUUCUUACAGACAGCCUAAAGAUGCACAUAACCACGUUAAUACCUCUGUUAUACCUCUUUGUAAUUUAAUUUCUUUCCAUCUGGGUGUGGAUGUGCAGAAAUAUUAUUCAUCUUUAAGCAUAUUACUCUAAAUAGAUGUUACUGAAAAAAAAUUCUUCCCAAAUGGGUUAGAGCUUUCGUGGGUUUUCACACUACCGCCUGAGGUAUUUUAGUAGGAGUCAAUAAGGAAUGAUACUCCUUUUUCACAUCAUCAUACUAGUCACACAUUAUUGACAUUAAAACAAACUUUAAAGACAGUCAAACUUCUUUGAGUAAGUAACAGUGGGAUUAUUAUUUUUUGGACUCCAUUAUAAACUACAGUUUACCACAUGAAUGGUACCCUGGAGUCAUUAACCAGGUUUAAUUUAAAUAGAUAAUGAGUAAAACUUAGGAACACUGCAGUGUUCUACCCCUGGUGUAGACAUACCAUGAAAUAUUGUGACUUCAGAUAUUAGACUGAUUCCAGCUAUUCAAUAAAAGGGCUAAGAGGUAAAAAUCCCCACAACCCAAUAAAAAACCAAAAGUUCAUGUAGACUGGUAAAUAUCUACCCAAGUUGACUUACUGUAGAGAAUACAUGAGACUUUAGUUUCUACCCAAUCACAUUAUUGAUUCUGCUACUUUAACUUUUCAGUUCUUAGUCUGGAUAAAGAUGUUGGAUUUAUGUCUACUUAUGACUUGUGAAUUUGGCUAAAACUGCAUAACAGAAUUUAGAAGAGGUUUGACAGAAAUGUAAUCAAAAUGUACUAACCACGUGGUUUUACUGCAACCAACUCUUGCUUCUUGGUUUAACAAAAUCAAUUAAAACAAAAAACAACAUAGAAAGAGAAGAAAAGAUAAGAAGCCAUGGCAUUCAAAAUUCUCUGCCUUUCAGUUCCAGUGUGAUGUCUGAGUAACUGCAGUAUGAAUAAUUCUGUGCUUUCCUUUGUGUUUUCCAUGGUGGUCCAGUAAGUGUGGGUUAUUUUCUAAGUGACAAGAGUCUGAUUCUGAUCUCACUAAGCUACAGCAUCACUGAUUUCAAAUAGUGAAACUAGAAGAUGAAUUCUUCUCUUGAGCCUGUCUGUCCUUCAUCACAGAUAGAAGAGGUAAGCAUGUUGCCAGGUACUGUCUGCCCUUUAGGUCUGCAGUCUGAGUGUGCUUACCAUCUUACAGACAUCUUGUGGCUUCAGGGCUGACCUCUAACGUGAAAUGAAAAGCCAGAAGAAGAAAAAUUAAGCACUGAGACUGAAUUAUAUGCAGAGAAUUGACACAAGAUGAAUCAGUACACAAUGUGGUCUGCAUUUAUAUGAAAAACUCCUCAUACAAAUACUUCUGCAUUAAGCAUAAUCUUGUCUCAGACUUGACCAACUAAGCAAAGGAAAGAACAUAUCACUUUGCACUGCAAAUUAAAGUUCAGAAUAUCAUGGAAGCCAAAAGAACCUAAAGGUUUAAUUGAAUGAGUAUCAGUCAAUGGGUAGGCCAUUGUUAGGGCAGCACAACCCUUGCUAGGUUGCUAGAUAUAUAGAUUAAAAAUGUUGUGUUAAUUGUAAUAAAAAAACCUACAGAGAAAAUUGGAUAGUCACUAAGUGUUACAAAUAAAAAAAAAAAAAAAGGCAAGAAAAGUUACAAGACAGGCUGUAGCUCUGAGCACAGUAGGAAUAAAAACAUUAGUUUCUCCCUGGGAUCAGGCGAAUGUUUGGCUUAGGAGUCACAUUCCAAAAUGAAGCAAAAGCUUAAAUGGUAGCUGAUAUAGUUAAUCUUAAAGAAAAAUUGUUUUUUGCAACAUUACAUGGGAGAACAUAGUCAUGAAGUUGUCUGCAAAGAAUAAUGUUUAACUAGAACUGUCUAAUAGAAAAGGAUUAAUGGAAAUAACCAUCUCAUAUCAAAAACACCCAUGCAAUAGGUGGCUUCCAUGUUCAAAAUGAGAAAAAAAAGUAAAAACUUUAGAACACAGUGAUGUUUAACACACAAUUUGCUGCUGGUGGUGUAAUGACUCAACACUCCAUAACAGUCUAUUUUUUAUCUAUGUAUCCAUUCAUUUGGUUAUUUUAAAGAUAUAUGUAUAUAUCUUUUAUAUAUAUAUAUGUAUGUAUCUAAUAUAAUUCAUGACUAUCUUUUAAUUUAUUAUUCAAGCCUCUCUUAUUAUUGAGAUUCUUUACUUCACAAUUCUGUUAAAACAAAUCCCUAAUCUCCCUGGUUGCACUCUUUGGACUUCUCUCACUCUAUCUGGGAAUUUCCAGGAACAGCAUUUUCCCCUCCCUGCAACACAGUGUGUCUUGAUUUCUUCCACAGGUGGGAAAAGACAAGGCUGUUUUCCAGUCCAGUAGAGCCACUCCUGGUGACUGGAACUGCAUUUGAGAGAUUCUUUUCAUGUGCUGCUUAUAAAAUGAAAAGGAUCCACGUACUCAGCAGUGCAAUUUUAUAAUCAUCUGAUCACUUAAAUAAGCAAUUUUUUUAAACGUUACCAUUUGCAUUUAGUAGAAAAUUCCAAUAUAUGAUAAAAUGUCUCAUAUAAUCCAUGCCUAUGAAAGAUGUGAACCAUUAUAAAGAACAGAGAAUGAAUGAACUUCUCUCUUUGUACUUGGCUAAUUGGAAAUAUGAGUCUACUCAACACAUGUGGAGAUUCACUGAGUCAUGGUCAAAACCAGCUAAAGGUAUUGCUUGGGAUCCAUCAUUAGGUAGAGCUGUGAUGCAAAAAGUUAGUGGGAAAAAAAAUAUAUAUUAAAAAAAGAGAGAAAAAUGGCCAGUAAAAGGGAGCAGAAGCAAAUACAUAAUCCAGGUUCAUUUUGAAUAAGCCUGAAGCUAACAUAUUGAGAAGAAACUAUGUUAAAGUGUGUUGCUGUACCUAUGUUUGGUGUCACAUGAAAAGAAAGCAAGUUCAAUUUUGGGUAGAAAGACACCUGGCAAGAGAGAAACCUGGCUGCAUUCAUUGCAUGUGUAAUCUCAGUUAAGUUGUAACAGUUCUAGAUAAGUUAAUCAGAUGGAUUUCCAGAAACAUGCAUUGGUAAAAGCAGAGUUAUUAAAGAUCAGUGGCUUUUGCCAUAGUCCAAAGGAUAUGUGUAAAACAUAUGUACUGUAUGUAAACCAGGGAGAGGGAAAAUACAGCAAAACACUCCAUUCUGCAGAAUAAACCAGUAGCCAGUACUAAAUAAAUAUUUUGCAUUCUUCACAUAUCAAUAAAAAUUCCACCCCCCUUUCCUGUUAUUCCCAAGCUAUGCAUAUAAUACAGUGGUUAUUACAAAGCAUGGUCAUCAGAAAUGAAAAGCCAUCCACUGUCAUAUACAGAGCACUAGAUAUAUUUUUGUGUGGUUUACCAGUUCUAGGAGGAAUACUAAAAGUGAAAAGUUAAAUUAAAGUAUCCCUGACCAUGGCAGACUUUUGGAACUAGAUGAUCCUUAAGGUCCUUUCCAGCACAAACCAUGCUACGGUUUUCUAGUUAUCUAUCCAUUUAACUUGAAAACAUGGAAGUGCUUUUAAACAUUGUCUAGUAUUGAUAUGUAUUUUUAUGUAUGAUAUACCCCAAUAAAAAGAGUCCAGGAAGAGCAACCAUGUCAUGCAGGCAGGGACUGUUACAUGUACCAUGCAGACAAAGAGCAUUCCACACAAGGAAAUGACCUUACCCAGCAAAUUCUCCACCCUGGGCUUGUGCCUGGCCUGCAAUUGCAUCCAUGAUAGCAUCCUGGGAAUACAUGCUGAUCGGGGUGUUAUACUGGGCGUGAAUUAUAGUAGCCUUGCCGCCAAGGCCCUUCACCUCAAUGGGUUUGUGUGUAGACAGGGCAGAGUCCUUCAGGACAUUGGGGUUGAAACGCUCCGUGAACUCCGGGCUGG
Molecule: long non-coding RNA, 7781 nt
Organism: Pseudopipra pipra
Lineage: Eukaryota; Metazoa; Chordata; Aves; Passeriformes; Pipridae
Exons: 4
Source: RefSeq, a predicted model, not a curated record